UUGGGCUCUUCUUUAUGCAGUUGAUUUGCAUG
This 32-nucleotide non-coding RNA is filed under the name Rattus norvegicus (Norway rat). Lineage: Eukaryota; Metazoa; Chordata; Mammalia; Rodentia; Muridae. The record is from RNAcentral.